This 332-nucleotide unclassified non-coding RNA is filed under the name soil metagenome. RNAcentral describes it as "partial contains 5.8S ribosomal RNA, internal transcribed spacer 2, and large subunit ribosomal RNA". The stretch from base 1 to 121 matches the Rfam family "5.8S ribosomal RNA", at positions 35 to 154 of the family's 154-position model. The record is from RNAcentral.
GAUGAAGAACGCAGCGAAAUGCGAUAAGUAAUGCGAAUUGCAGAAUUUCCGUGAGUCAUCGAAUCUUUGAACGCACAUUGCGCCCCCUGGUAUUCCGGGGGGCAUGCCUGUUCGAGCGUCAUUUCACCACUCAAGCCUCGCUUGGUAUUGGGCAACGCGGUCCGCCGCGUGCCUCAAAUCGUCCGGCUGGGUCUUCUGUCCCCUAAGCGUUGUGGAAACUAUUCGCUAAAGGGUGUUCGGGAGGCUACGCCGUAAAACAACCCCAUUUCUAAGGUUGACCUCGGAUCAGGUAGGGAUACCCGCUGAACUUAAGCAUAUCAAUAAGCGGAGGA